This 253-nucleotide ribosomal RNA is filed under the name uncultured bacterium. RNAcentral's name for it is "partial 16S ribosomal RNA". It matches the Rfam family "Bacterial small subunit ribosomal RNA", at positions 524 to 776 of the family's 1533-position model. The record is from RNAcentral.
UACAGAGGGUGCAAGCGUUAUCCGGAAUUAUUGGGCGUAAAGAGCUCGUAGGCGGUUUGUCGCGUCUGCCGUGAAAGUCCGGGGCUCAACUCCGGAUCUGCGGUGGGUACGGGCAGACUAGAGUGAUGUAGGGGAGACUGGAAUUCCUGGUGUAGCGGUGAAAUGCGUAGAUAUCAGGAGGAACACCGAUUGCGAAGGCAGCUCGCUGGGACGUUACUGACGCUGAGGCACGAAAGCGUGGGGAGCAAACAGG